GAUGAACGCUGGCGGCGUGCUUAACACAUGCGAGUCGAACGAGAAGUGAAGACGGAAACCUUCGGGCGGAAGGCUUUAUUUCGAGUGGCGGACGGGUGAGUAACGCGUGGGUAACCUGCCUCAUACAGGGGGAUAACAGUUGGAAACGACUGUUAAUACCGCAUAAGACCACAGCACCGCAUGGUGCGGGGGUAAAAACUCCGGUGGUAUGAGAUGGACCCGCGUUCGAUUAGCCAGUUGGCGGGGUAACGGCCCACCAAAGCGACGAUCGAUAGCCGAUCUGAGAGGAUGACCGGCCACAUUGGGACUGAGACACGGCCCAAACUCCUACGGGAGGCAGCAGUGGGGAAUAUUGCACAAUGGGGGAAACCCUGAUGCAGCGACGCCGCGUGAGUGAAGAAGUAUUUCGGUAUGUAAAGCUCUAUCAGCAGGGAAGAAAACGACGGUACCUGAGUAAGAAGCCCCGGCUAACUACGUG
Molecule: ribosomal RNA, 478 nt
Filed under: uncultured bacterium
Lineage: Bacteria
Description: partial 16S ribosomal RNA
Rfam family: Bacterial small subunit ribosomal RNA
Source: RNAcentral